UUGAACGCUGGUGGCAUGCCUUACACAUGCAAGUCGAACGGCAGCGCGGGAGCAAUCCUGGCGGCGAGUGGCGAACGGGUGAGUAAUACAUCGGAACGUGCCCAAUCGUGGGGGAUAACGCAGCGAAAGCUGUGCUAAUACCGCAUACGAUCUACGGAUGAAAGCAGGGGAUCGCAAGACCUUGCGCGAAUGGAGCGGCCGAUGGCAGAUUAGGUAGUUGGUGAGGUAAAGGCUCACCAAGCCUUCGAUCUGUAGCGGGUCUGAGAGGACGACCAGCCACACUGGGACUGAGACACGGCCCAGACUCCUACGGGAGGCAGCAGUGGGGAAUUUUGGACAAUGGGCGAAAGCCUGAUCCAGCCAUGCCGCGUGCAGGAUGAAGGCCUUCGGGUUGUAAACUGCUUUUGUACGGAACGAAACGGUCUUUUCUAAUACAGAAGGCUAAUGACGGUACCGUAAGAAUAAGCACCGGCUAACUACGU
RNAcentral lists this ribosomal RNA (482 nucleotides) under uncultured bacterium. RNAcentral's name for it is "bacterial SSU rRNA". It matches the Rfam family "Bacterial small subunit ribosomal RNA", at positions 30 to 506 of the family's 1533-position model. The record is from RNAcentral.